Pimephales promelas (fathead minnow) is the source of this 117-nucleotide non-coding RNA. Lineage: Eukaryota; Metazoa; Chordata; Actinopteri; Cypriniformes; Leuciscidae. The record is from RefSeq and is a predicted model, not a curated record.
UUAAUUUUUGAUACCAUAGCACCACUGGAUAGAGCUCAUCGAGACCUUUAUUUUGAUAUAAAGAACUCAUAUUCGCCCAAAAUGCCACUUACGCCCCUCUGGCUUCAAGCCCUCGAU